Helianthus annuus (common sunflower) is the source of this 267-nucleotide long non-coding RNA. RefSeq lists it as uncharacterized. NCBI's taxonomy places the organism in Eukaryota, Viridiplantae, Streptophyta, Magnoliopsida, Asterales, Asteraceae. The record is from RefSeq and is a predicted model, not a curated record. The transcript is spliced from 3 exons.
UCACCAGAUCCGUUUGAAUCUAUCACCAGAUCCGUUUGAUGAGCAGAUCUAGGGUUUCAUGAGAUCUAUCACAAGCUUUAUCUAGCAACUUGAUGUCGAAGGCACCAAGGGAUCCACAGAUUUGAACAAGGGAUCCACAGAAUUGCUGGAGAAUGGCCGGAAUCAGGUGAUGUCUGUCCAUGAAUCUCUCUGGAAUCAUGUUUCAGAUGAAGGCUGGCAUGGGAGCCCUUCUUCUAAACAUACUUUCAAAGUAUUCAGAAGGUGAUG